RNAcentral lists this ribosomal RNA (496 nucleotides) under Lithobius castaneus. RNAcentral describes it as "partial large subunit ribosomal RNA". It matches the Rfam family "Bacterial large subunit ribosomal RNA", at positions 1817 to 2600 of the family's 2925-position model. Lineage: Eukaryota; Metazoa; Arthropoda; Chilopoda; Lithobiomorpha; Lithobiidae. The record is from RNAcentral.
UGUUCUUUGUUUCGUAUUAUAAAGGAUAGGGUCUGCCCUAUGAUUGUGAUUAAAUGGCCGCAGUAUUUUGACUGUGCGAAGGUAGCAUAAUCAAUUGUCUCUUAAUUAGGGUCUGGUAUGAAUGAUUUAAUGAAGGCAGGCUGUUUUUAUUAGGUUUAUGAAUUUUAAUGUUAGGUGAAGAUGCUUAAAUGAUUUUAAAAGACGAGAAGACCCCAUUAAGUUUUACAUCUCUCUUAUAUUAAGGUAACGAUAUAGGCUAAAUGUUUAGUUGGGGCAACUGCAGGAUAAGGAAACUUCUGUGAAAUAUAAAUAUUUUAUGUAAAUUAGGUAUGAUCCAAGGGUUUGAUUUUUAGAAUUAAUUACUAUGGGGAUAACAGCGUAAUUUUCUUAUAGAGUUCUUAUCGAUGGGAAAGAUUGCGACCUCGAUGUUGGAUUAAGAUACUUCUUUGGUGUAGCUGUUGAAGGGGGUAGUCUGUUCGACUAUUAAAUUCUUACA